Molecule: non-coding RNA, 28 nt
Filed under: Homo sapiens (human)
Lineage: Eukaryota; Metazoa; Chordata; Mammalia; Primates; Hominidae
Source: RNAcentral
UGGAACCGAGCAAUACCUCUCUGGGAGC